Molecule: long non-coding RNA, 217 nt
Filed under: Mytilus galloprovincialis (Mediterranean mussel)
Lineage: Eukaryota; Metazoa; Mollusca; Bivalvia; Mytilida; Mytilidae
Source: RNAcentral
AUUUGUUGUAAUAUUUAAUAAUUCAAUAGUAAAAGUUUCCUCGGCGAAAAUAGAAUUUGAAUAAUACCAAAUAAAAAAAUAGUAAAAAUUGAUUUGGCAUUCGGUCACAUAGAAAACAGUCGCAAAGGGAAAUGACUUUCUUAGAAAUGGUGAUCAUGUUCCCUACCUUCUCCAUCUUGUCAAUUUCUUCUCUCAUGUUAUUACCACAUCAAAUUAG